AACAGCAACUGCAUGCGCUCGCUCAAAUAUUUCUCUCUUUCCCAGAAUGAACAUUCUGUGUUCCAAUACGCUUAGUAGUGGUAUGGAGGUGGUGGAGAUUUGUACUUGUACACCGGAGGAGGUGGAGAAUACACUGGCGGUGGUGGGGAUUUGUACUUGUACACUGGAGGUGGUGGGGAGUAAACCGGAGGUGGCGGAGACUUGUAUUUGUACACUGGUGGAGGCGGGCUGUGAACCGGGGGUGGUGGAGAUUUGUACUUGUAAACCGGUGGUGGUGGGCUGUGAACCGGGGGUGGCGGAGACUUGUAUUUGUAAACUGGUGGUGGUGGGCUGUAAACCGGGGGUGGUGGAGAUUUGUACUUGUAAACCGGUGGUGGUGGGCUGUGAACUGGGGGUGGCGGAGACUUGUAUUUGUAAACUGGCGGUGGUGGGCUGUAAACCGGUGGAGGUGGAGAUUUGUACUUGUACACUGGAGGAGGGGGCGAGUGCACUGGUGGUGGCGGGGAUUUGUAUUUGUAGACGGGCGGAGGUGGCGAGUACACCGGCGGUGGCGGGGACUUGUAUUUGUACACCGGCGGCGGCGGCGAGUAGACGGGCGGGGGCGGGGACUUGUAUUUGUACACCGGUGGAGGCGGCGAUUUGUAGUAGUAUGUCGGCGGUGGCGGGGAAGCGUACUUGUAAACCGGUGGCUCAUCGGCGCCCGCGAGAGCGGCCAGUGUCACACCCACAAAGAAGACGACGAGCGUUGGGCUCGGCCCCAUCAUUGUUUGGAUCAAUCGACCACCUGCGACUCAAUCGCGCAAAGCAAUGCGCGAUUCCUAGGAGCGCGAUGCCCUCAAAUCUCUAGAGAGGGAGAGAGAAGAGAAUAAGAGAGGGAGAUAGUGAGAAUGGGGCUCUGGAGAAGGGCUCUUUAUACUGCCUGCUUUCGCUCGAUAAAAAACCAUUUCUUAACGCGACUAGGUCCGAGCUGUUUUUUCUACCUCGAUUCACUCUCUGUGAAGAACUGGGCAAAAAGAAAAAAUCCAACACGGUGUGGGGUCGUGUUGCCAGCUUUCACACCUCGAAGCUUCAACGAGAAUGGCAACCCAAGUGGGAAAUGGUCUCAUCUCCAUAUCUGUAGACUUUGGAAUUCUUCCACUUUCUUUUUUGGAGCAGCUUUGCUGGAUCUCGAACUCGUUGUUUGGUGGUCAGUCCGAGUCGCUUAGCUCGUCGAUAGAGUUUAAUGACUCGAGCUCUGAAAGGAAAGAGCAGUUCGAACAACCAGAUCCUCCUGAAAUGCACGAGCUUGACUUUGGAGUUUUGGUUUCAUUCUGGACUUGAAACAGUGGUUUUCAUUCAGCUAACCUGGUCUCUUUCCUUCAAAGUGAAAGGGAGUGAUUCCCCCGGACAAGAAUAAAUCGAUCGAUGAUCAAAACCGUAUUGUUUACUCCAGCGAGAUGUUCUCGAGCCAAUGUGGGCGGUAAAAGCACGAUAAGUACGAUAGUCUUUUGUACGUUUUCACUGCGGUAUCACUGACUUUGUUACACCACGCUGAUUGAUCGAGUCUUCUCACAUAGAAUUUCUGUUUUUUAGCCAACCUACCCUUACUGACAACGUCGUCGCGUGUUUCGUGGCAUGUCAGAGCGUGCGCUGGUUGAUCGCAAGCCCGGCUUUGAUCAAAAACAUGGCACGGAGGUUCAAUUCAACAAUUCCCGCUGGCGAAUCCAGACCUCCCAACCAAUACUCUCUUGAUGGAUCUCGAAAUUGAUCGAGAGGAGAGAGCCCAAAUGCUAGACGACAACUUGGAAGAAUCAUAUAGGAGUCGAAGCGACUCCAAUUUACAACACCGGGGUCAUUCGUAUUCUUUUCGUGCCCAAAGUUUUUCCAAUGCUCUUCGUCACAAAAAUCUUUUACUGAAGCUAUCGAAAAUUUUAGAAAAGAAGAAGAGUUGUCCAUUGUGCUAUGGCUGGCUCUCGAAUGUUGAAUGUUUGGUUUGUAUCGAUAUUCAUACAGUCCCUUUCAAUCAGACGAAUGAGAAGUUUCUUCUCUGCACUACUGUAGCUGAUUGAAAUUCUGGCAGGAUCACGUAGCAGCCUUUGAAUCCAGUGCCGGUCAUCUUCACCAUGUGGCUCGUGGCAGUGGAGUCCAGCUUGAGAGGAAUCUGGAAGAACACGACCGGUAAUGUCAUCCCCAGACCUGUGUACUGGAUCCACAGCGUCUAAGAGAAGUGUUGCAAACGUUUGAUCCCAAAAGCACAUAUAGGCGAACCUGAGAGGAAUUUUCUCGACUUUGGAGAGCUGCGCGGGCAAACUCGUGUUCUUGGAGCUCAGCACGGCGACGUUGCGGCCUUUCUUGCGGCAGAGGAUGCCGAGGAACGAAUCGGACGUAUGUGGGUGGAGUUCACAAAGUCUGCGAGAUAGACAAUGGAGUUUCCAUCUUUGCCAAGCAAUGCACAGCCAUAGGCAGCAGCAGUAACACCAAUGACAUUUUCAAGUCUGAAAAGAAAAGAUUAGCUCCUAGCUGUGAUAACUCUCAAGAACAGAAGAACUACCACGUUUAAUUGAAGAGGCAAUCGUCUUGCUUCGUGAUAGCCAUGGAGCAAGAGCUACGUAGAGAGCCUGUACAUGAGCUUCUGUCUGCGAGACACACAAAGUGAUUCUAAGCAUGGACAUAAGAAGCAAGCAGUGAGUUCUAGAUACGAGAAAAUGUGGUUACCUGGAAGAAAUUGGAGGAACAAUUGGCGGUCUAAAUGGCAGUACAUGGAAACCAGCCUUGAGAACGUCCCUACGUAACGAAAAAAGAGUUGUAAACAUGCAUAUGACCACCAGAGCGAUUAUGCCGUCAAAUUAGCAAUCUGUUUUACUCUGCUCCACAGUUGCCUAACAACCACGAGAGCAGCAGCCAUACAGCAAAAAUCCAUAAGCAAGAUCACGAGAAAAAAGAUACGUUCUAAGCUUGGUGCCUUCACCAUUGAUUCCUAAAGAAGCAAAAUGAUCAGGAGCUUAUAAUUGACAGACUAUUUAGAACAAGGAAGAACAUGAUGGAAGCAUGAUUUAGCUCAUCGGAAAAGAUAUCUGCGAGACGUCUGGAAUGGUCAUGGAGAUUAUGCAUCCGUUUCACGCAUAUUAGCUGCAAAUCCUAUAGGACACAGCAAGCAUUCCUACAGAAGAAAAAAAGUAAAGCAUUGUAGCACAGUGGAAAAGAAACCUCAAGUGUUCUUAAGCGCUGCUAGAACAAGAUUCAAGUCUUCUGUGAUGAAUUGUGUAGCCACAAAUGAGAGCCACUUAGUCCCAUUCCAAAUUCGAUAGCAGCCUGGAAAGGAGUCUGCGGCGGAGCGAACAGCCGGAUGCAUAGAGAGUUCAUGAUGAUCGUUUCCAGAAAAUUGGAUGAGCAAUCGCAUUCUUUCUUUCUCUCUAGUCGAUUCUCCGCCUGCUUCCAGGUCUCCGGUGCGAUCAUGGAAGAAAGACACUCGCAUAAUUUCUUGAUGGAUCACGUAUUUCUUUCUCCCUUGCAUUCUAAUCGAUGGUGUGAAAGAGCUUCUGGCCCAUGUGAGCGAGUGCGCGUCCAAGAUCGAGACUGCGAAGCUGUGCGCGAUUAUUGCUGGCCAAGCUGUCGAGCGCUAAACAUACAUAAGUUUUUCUUCCGAGGACUCCCAGAAAUAACGCGCCCGUCAACGCGCGAUUCUGCUUCGCGGCCGCACAAUCCAAAUCAGUGGUGAUAGGAAAUUCCGAGCGCUAAUUGGAUGUCAAGUGCCAUCAUAGCAAGGAGCAUAAGUAAAAUUCUAAAUUUAUUUAUGAAAAUUAAUAUAUUUUGUCUAGCAUCAGCUAAGGGUGAAAGCUACUCUGUGGUUGUCAAUCUUCCCGUAUGAUAGAUGUCUUGCAGGGGCCUCAAUCUUCGUGACGACCACGGCAGGAAUGGAUCUUUCUUCUGCAGCUGCUCCUCCACUCAAAUUUCUCAAGUUUCAGACAAAAACAUCCAGAGCUAGCUGUGUGGUGUUGUCAUCUUUGCUUUCGGACUCUGCAAAAGACUGGCGUAAUGCCAGAAUCAUAUCCUCGUGUGGAUCACUUCCAAGGCUGUUGGUAAAUCGAUUUCAUCUUACCCUUUGAGACACUCAGAAAAUUGCUUUUUAUUUAUUCCAUAUGAUCAAAAUAACCCGCUCAGACAAGAUCAUCGAACAUUGGCCGAGCAAGAAAAGCAGCAAUUGCAUGCGCUCGCUCAAAUAUUUCCAGAUUGCAACGGAAAGAUCAUUGUUCUUAUGCGCUUAGUAGUGGUAUGGAGGUGGCGGGGAUUUGUACUUGUACACCGGAGGCGGUGGAGAAUACACUGGCGGAGGUGGGGAUUUGUACUUGUACACUGGAGGUGGUGGGGAGUAAACCGGAGGUGGUGGAGACUUGUAUUUGUAAACCGGUGGUGGUGGGCUGUAAACCGGAGGUGGGGGAGAUUUGUACUUGUAAACCGGUGGUGGUGGGCUGUAAACCGGAGGUGGGGGAGAUUUGUACUUGUAAACCGGUGGUGGUGGGCUGUAAACCGGAGGUGGUGGAGAUUUGUACUUGUACACUGGAGGUGGUGGGGAGUAAACCGGAGGUGGCGGAGACUUGUAUUUGUAAACUGGUGGAGGUGGGCUGUAAACCGGAGGUGGUGGGGAUUUGUACUUGUACACUGGUGGUGGUGGGCUGUAGACCGGUGGUGGUGGAGACUUGUAUUUGUACACUGGUGGUGGUGGGCUGUAGACCGGUGGUGGUGGAGACUUGUAUUUGUAAACCGGUGGUGGUGGGCUGUAAACCGGUGGAGGUGGAGAUUUGUACUUGUACACUGGAGGAGGAGGCGAGUACACGGGCGGUGGUGGGGAUUUGUAUUUGUAGACGGGCGGAGGUGGCGAGUACACCGGCGGUGGCGGGGAUUUGUAUUUGUACACCGGCGGCGGCGGCGAGUAGACGGGCGGGGGCGGGGACUUGUAUUUGUACACCGGUGGAGGCGGGGAUUUGUAGUAGUAUGUCGGCGGUGGCGGGGAAGCGUACUUGUAAACCGGCGGCUCAUUGGCGCCCGCGAGAGCGGCCAGUGUCACACCCACAAAGAAGACGAGCAUUGGGCUCGGCCC
RNAcentral lists this long non-coding RNA (5077 nucleotides) under Selaginella moellendorffii. Its description in RNAcentral is "long non-coding RNA (SMOE_LNC000559)". Lineage: Eukaryota; Viridiplantae; Streptophyta; Lycopodiopsida; Selaginellales; Selaginellaceae. The record is from RNAcentral.